GAAAAUUCAAAAGAGAAAAACCCUUCGAAAAGCCACAAAACCAAUAUCUCUCUCGUAUUCUGCUUUUCCCCUUCUCUCUCCCAUUCUCAAUCUCAGAAACCCAAAAUGUUGUAAAACCUAACCUCUUUCAUUUCUGUAACAUUCUCGUCUCCCAUUUUCGUAACCUUUUCCCCAAAUUACUUGAUCCAGAAACCCUAAUUUCUGAAACGAAGAUCAGAUACGGGGAAAAUUGGUAAUCAGAAUCAAUGGUGGGUGCAUCGAGCUCAUGGUCUCGCGUAUUGGUUCAGAUCUCACCCUCCACUUUCUCCGUCAUCGGUAUCGCCAUCGGCAUCGGCGUUUCCGUCUUGGGGAAUUUAUAUAACUGGAAGUAUUUUAAUUGGUGCCAUCAAAGCUCCUCGGAUUACUUCAAAAAAUCUGAUUAGAUGAGUACUUCAACUUUCUUUCUUUCUUUUUUUCUCGCUGGUUUUAUGGAUCAUUGAUGUGGUAUUACAUUGACUGGCUUAUUAAUGAGAGGUAACUGACAACUUCCAUGUGUAAAAAAAAUUGAAUUAUGCCACCACUUGCUAGAUUGUCCGGGCAUAGGUUACAUGGUCGUAGGAUAAGCUGAUACGCCUAUUUACCAUCAAUAUCAAUGAGUGUCAAUUCUGAAAUCUUACUGAACAUACAUUUGGACAAAUCAAUAUCAAUAUUGCGGCCAAUAUUUCAGUAUGGUUCAUGUUGAUAUUCUAUAAUAUUAUUGGUAUUCCUCAUUUACUUUGAUGAACUGAAGAUUUUUGUGCUCAUUUCCUAUGCAAUACUUGCUUGUUUUGAGCUUAAUUUGAAGACUCAUUCAAGAUUGCUGCUAAAUUCACAAAGUAUCGGCACGUUGUUGGUGACUUGGAGGCAUGAAGGGGCAAUUUAGGAACAUAAAAAGGAGUCAGCAGAGAGUGCAUAAAAAUGAUAAUAUUUUCCACUUUGACGGUGAAAUUUCCUAUUCCAGCUCAUUGGGGUUUAAAUCCCAUAUUAUUUUCAAAUAGUUAUAUUAAUACAUGCAUAAUGCUUGUAUUGUUAGUCAUUUUCCUACUAUAGUGGCUAUUUUUCAUUGCAUUUUUUAAUAAAGAUACUAGUUUUAGAUUUUUAUUCACAUGAUUUCUCAUUUGCCUAGCCUCAUUGCUUAUAUUGGAUUUUCAGAAGUUCUAUGCAAGUAACUAAACAAUUGUGUCAAGUAGUUGUGGGAGAAAGAGAUGGAGAAAUCCAAAAAAGAGAAUGGAUAUAAAGGAAGUAAUAGGGGAAAAUAAGCUAAUCAUGUGAGUGAAGUAGAGCUUGGAAGGGCUACUUGGACUUUUCUCCAUACUCUUGCAGCUCAGCCUUAAUAAACCAAUAUUUCCUUGUAAGAGAGUUGAUGCAAGGUGGGGCAAGCUGAAAUGCGAGCUGCGUGCAUGUUAUCUACAAGGAACUCCAGAUUUUGGUGAAGGAUGACAUUAACAUAAUUACCAUAAACCAUCAACUGAUGUUAUUGUUUGAUUUUCAGUGUUACUAUUGCAAAUAAUAAGAGUCAUAUGAAAUUAAUUAAUAUAGGAAAUCAUUUGAAUGUCU
This is a long non-coding RNA of Vitis vinifera (wine grape), 1575 nucleotides long. RefSeq lists it as uncharacterized. Lineage: Eukaryota; Viridiplantae; Streptophyta; Magnoliopsida; Vitales; Vitaceae. The record is from RefSeq and is a predicted model, not a curated record. The transcript has 4 exons.